AGCGAACGCUGGCGGCAGGCUUAACACAUGCAAGUCGAACGCCCCGCAAGGGGAGUGGCAGACGGGUGAGUAACACGUGGGAACGUACCCUUUGGUUCGGAAUAACUUGGGGAAACUCAAGCUAAUACCGGAUAAGCCCUCAUGGGGAAAGGUUUACUGCCGAAGGAUCGGCCCGCGUCGGAUUAGCUAGUUGGUGAGGUAAUGGCUCACCAAGGCGACGAUCAGUAGCUGGUCUGAGAGGAUGAUCCGCCACCCUGGGACUGAGACACGGCCCAGCCUCCUCCGGGAGGCAGCAGUGGAGAAUAUUGGACAAUGGGGGCAACCCUGUUCCAGCCAUGCCGCGUGAGUGAUGAAGGCCUUAGGGUUGUAAAGCUCUUUUACCCGGGACGAUAAUGACUGUACCGGGAGAAUAAGCCCCGGCUAACUUCGUGCCAGCAGCCGCCGUAA
Molecule: ribosomal RNA, 447 nt
Filed under: uncultured bacterium
Lineage: Bacteria
Description: partial 16S ribosomal RNA
Rfam family: Bacterial small subunit ribosomal RNA
Source: RNAcentral